RNAcentral lists this ribosomal RNA (391 nucleotides) under uncultured bacterium. RNAcentral describes it as "bacterial SSU rRNA". It matches the Rfam family "Bacterial small subunit ribosomal RNA", at positions 39 to 433 of the family's 1533-position model. The record is from RNAcentral.
NAGCGGAAUGGUUAACACAUNCAAGUCGAGCGGUAGGUGGUUUCGGCCAUUGAGAGCGGCGCACGGGUGAGUAACGCGUACAUGACCUGCCUGUCAGAAGGGGAUAGCCCUGGGAAACUGGGAUUAAUACCCUAUGGUAUUGAUGUUAUAGAUGAUAUCAAUUAAAGCUGAGGCGCUGACAGAUGGAUGUGCGUCUGAUUAGCUAGUUGGUAGGGUAACGGCCUACCAAGGCGACGAUCAGUAGGGGGCGUGAGAGCGUGGUCCCCCACACGGGUUCUGAGACACGGACCAGACACCUACGGGUGGCAGCAGUCGAGAAUCUUUCACAAUGGGGGAAACCCUGAUGGAGCGACGCCGCGUGGAGGAUNAAGGUCUUCGGAUUGUAAACUCC